UGGGGAAUAUUGCACAAUGGACGGAAGUCUGAUGCAGCAACACCGCGUGCGGGAUGACGGCCUUCGGGUUGUAAACCGCUUUUUCUCAUGACGAAGUUUUUUGACGGUAGUGGGGGAAGAAGCACCGGCUAACUACGUGCCAGCAGCCGCGGUGAUACGUAGGGUGCGAGCGUUGUCCGGAAUUAUUGGGCGUAAAGAGCUUGUAGGCGGUUUGUCGCGUCGAUAGUGCAAACUCAGUGCUUAACGCUGAGCCUGCUGUUGAUACGGGCAGACUAGAGGAAGGUAGGGGAGAAUGGAAUUCCCGGUGGAGCGGUGGAAUGCGCAGAUAUCGGGAGGAACACCGGUGGCGAAGGCGGUUCUCUGGGCCUUUCCUGACGCUGAGAAGCGAAAGCGUGGGGAGCGAACAGG
RNAcentral lists this ribosomal RNA (408 nucleotides) under Fusobacteriota bacterium. RNAcentral's name for it is "Fusobacteria bacterium partial 16S ribosomal RNA". It matches the Rfam family "Bacterial small subunit ribosomal RNA", at positions 355 to 776 of the family's 1533-position model. Lineage: Bacteria; Fusobacteriati; Fusobacteriota. The record is from RNAcentral.